UCCUGCGUAGCUCAGUUGGCAGAGCGUUCGACUGUUAAUCGAAUGGUCGCUGGUUCAAGCCCAGCCGCAGGAGCCA
This 76-nucleotide transfer RNA is filed under the name Chlamydia trachomatis. Its description in RNAcentral is "tRNA-Asn(gtt)". It matches the Rfam family "tRNA". Rfam says of the family: Transfer RNA (tRNA) molecules are approximately 80 nucleotides in length. RNAcentral also lists the same sequence under 106 other names. Lineage: Bacteria; Pseudomonadati; Chlamydiota; Chlamydiia; Chlamydiales; Chlamydiaceae. The record is from RNAcentral.